UUUACAGUCUUUAACAGCAUGUCACACUCCCUUCCAAGUUUAAGCACUUGCAUAAAUUGCAUUCCUUCACUCACAAAUUGCUUUUUGAGUAGCAAAUUGUCACCAACCAGUUGAGAUAUAAAAUAAUUAGUAAUUACCUUGUACUAGUAAGUUGAGAUCUAGAAAACCCCUAAUUUUUUUCCUUAAGAAAGAUUAGUUAGUACUGGGAUGAAAUGGGCCUGAAUAUUGAGCCAUAGUUAAUUGAUUGAUUAAUAGAUAGCUUUUUGGAUGCAUUUCACAUGUAUACAAGUAUUUUUUUUAAAAUGUUGUUAUCUUUUGAGGUUAAAAAUUCCCAGCUAUGCAUUUUUAUUUCAUACCUUAGUUGCCUUUUUGUUUUAGUAAAUCUGUGAAAUAACCUAUGCAAGUAGUAUGAGGAAAUGGAAGAAAAUUGGAAAUUGUAUUAUUAUGCAUAAUUGCAUAUAGGAGACAUUUCCUAUGUUGGUCCACAAUUAGCCAGUCUUCAUUCUUCCAUGAAGUGGCUAUAUUUGCUAUAACUUUGCCUCGGACAUAGACAAUGAACACCUGUGGCUCAGUCUGCAGUUCAUCUGUAUUUUCAUGAUAUAUGAACUUUGAGUCCUAUGCUUGCUUGGAAUAAUAUGUUGUAGAUUUUACUAGCUGCUCAUUUUAUUGGUUGAUAUACAAUAUUUAAGAAAGUGGAUAACUUUGUACUUGCAUAUCGUACUUCACUGAUAUUAUAGAGAUGCAGAUGCUUGUACCCUUCAUAUGGAGUGAGAAUUGCCAUUCUUUCAAUUCCAUAGACUAAAUGGGUUAAUGAAGCAGGACAAUAUAAACCUCCGUCCCGGAACAAAGUUAAUGCUCAUUACUGUUUAGAUAUGGUUUCCACCUAUGUUGCUCGGACUCGUGCGGGUACCCAAUACGGGUGCCGAUCUAGAGAUCUGCAAAGAUAAGGAAGAGGCAGAAGUCUGGUUUGUUGCUCUCAGGGCUUUGAUAUCUUGGGUUAACUGUCAAAAGUGGACAAGCGAUAUAAGACAUGAUGCCACAUCUUCUGAAGGUUCAACUACUGUGACACAACGAAGUUCUCACUCCGCUUUGUCAAGUAGUAGUGGAAGCAGCAGUACACCCUAUGAGGAUCCAAAGAAAAAUCAAUUGGUUUCAGUUCCAUCUCAGAGUCCCCCAAAAAAGAGAUUAGAAAGAGCAUUCUCUGACUUUUUACUCUAUAAUGCAGCCGCACAAUGUUCUUCCCAAAGAGAGUUUGCCGCUUGUUCCCUCGACUCAAGAUCAUACGGAACCUUAGAUGAUGAAAAUGGGCGGAGCUCUGCGGAUACUAUCCGAUUUAGUUUCUCUAGUGCCAUUAGUUCAUCUAGCCAGGGAUCUUCUUCCGCAAAUAUUGAUACCCUUUGUGACAUUUUAAUAUGGGGAGAAGGAAUUGGUGAUGGCCUGCUUGGUGGUGGGAUAUGUGGACGUGGAAACUUUGAAGCUGUAAGAAGGGAUUCACCUUUGCCUAAGAUCUUGGAAUCAGCUUUACUACUUGAUGCUCAAUAUAUUGCUUGUGGAAGCACACAUGCUGUACUAAUCACAAAGCAAGGAGAGAUCCUUAGUUGGGGAGAGGGGUCAGGUGGCAGACUAGGGCAUGGAGUAGAAUCUGAUGUUUCUAGCCCAAAACUUAUUGACACUCUCUGUGGGUUGAAUGUUACAUCAGCAGCAUGCGGAGAUUAUCAUACUUGUGCCACAACAAUCAGUGGAGAUCUCUAUACAUGGGGUGAGGGUACCUUUAACUUUGGCCUCCUUGGGCAUGAUACUGGAAUCAGUCACUGGACCCCCAAAAAAGUAAAGGGUCCUUUGGUUGGUAAGCAUGUCUCAUAUGUCUCUUGUGGUCCUUGGCAUUCGGCUGCUAUAACAUCAGUUGGCCAACUUUUUACUUUUGGUGAUGGAACUUUUGGUGCUCUAGGUCAUGGGGAUCGUAGUAGCACUAGCAUUCCUAGGGAAGUUGAAACUCUACAAGGACGAAGAACAGCUACAGUGUCCUGUGGGCACUGGCACACUGCAGCCGUGGUAGAGCUCUCUUUUGAGGAUUCUGGUUCUAGUAACUCCCCACCUCGGAAGCUUUUCACCUGGGGAAAUGGCGAUGAUGGACAACUUGGACAUGGAGAUAAUGCUUCUAGACUCGCUCCAUGCAACAUUUUACAGUUAGAUGACAUUAACUUCUGUAGAGUAGUCUGUGGCCAUAGCAUUACAGUUGCUCUGACAACAUCAGGACAAGUAUAUACAAUGGGGAAAGCUGAUUAUGGGCAACUAGGAAUUCCUGGAAGCAAUGGAAAGUUCCCUUCUCGUGUUCAAGGAAAAAUUACAAAUUGUUUCAUCGAAGAAAUAGCUUGUGGCUCUUUCCAUGUUGUGGCCUUGAGCUCAAACUCUCAGCUUUACACGUGGGGAAAAGGAGGAAAUGGUCAGCUAGGACAUGGGGACAAUCGUGAUAGGAACACUCCUACACUGGUUGAAGCGCUGAAAGCAAAACAAAUAAAGCAUGUGGUCUGUGGAAAUAAUUUUACUGCUGCCAUUUGUCUACACAGAGAAGUGUCUGUUGCUAAUAAUUCCAUUUGUGCUGGAUGCCAGAGUCCAUUUAAUCUCAGACGAAAACGUCAUAACUGCUACAACUGUGGGCUUGUCUUUUGCAAAGUGUGCACCAGUAAAAGAUCUGUAAAAGCUUCUUUGGCUCCAAAAAUGAACAAACCUUAUCGUGUGUGUGAAGAUUGUUUUGCUAAAUUGAACAAGGGCUUGGAGACUGGAUUGACGUGUCUACCACCGAAGGCCACCAAUGGAAGCUUACAGAAGAAUACCGGAGAGAAGGUGAAAGAGACCUUGCCUUCCAAACAAAAAGGCCUUCUGUCUAGGCUGUCCUCAUUCAAUUCAUUCAAGCAGUCUGACAAUCAACAUCCUAAAAAGAACCAGAAGCAAGAUUCAAACUCUGACCAUGUCUCUCCAGUUUCCAAUGGCAAUACUCAGUGUGAAUUAUCUCAAACAUCAAGCCCAUUGAUGUCUUUUUCUGAUUGCCCUGAGAAAUUGUCUGUUUCUUUUGUUGGAUCAACAAGUCAUUCUCAAGCUGGCUCUCCUGCUUCUUUGGAAUCAAGUUCAUCUUAUUCUGUGUCACUGAGAUCUGCUAUUGCUGCACAAGCAUAUCACGAAGUGGAUCUUGAUGAUUCAAAGCAAACAAGUGAAAGUCUGAAAAAAGAAAUUUCAAUAUUGAAGGAGCAGGUAGAGAUUCUCACCCAGAGAUCUGUUUUCUUAGAGGCUGAGCUUGAGAAGAAAUCAAGGCAACUUCAAGAGAAAACUGAACAAGCUAGAACCGAAACAGAGAAAAACAAUGCUGCAAAGGAAGUCAUCAAAACUCUAAUGAUGCAGGUAAAGGGCACCACUGCAAAAGCACCUCGGGAUGCUUCUGCAGAACAUCUGAUCUCACUGAUGACACCUACAAUGCCUUGAACCUUGUUUCUGGAAGGAGUAAAGCAACCAGCUAGGAUUUCAUCACUCCUAUUCUUUUUGCAGUUAUCUGCAGACCACUGAAGAUUUAUGCUGUAAAUAUCAUCAAUGUCUCGGAAAGCGUAUCAGUCGUGAAAAUAUGAGAUGCACGCCACUGAUUCAAGGAAGGAGUCUUAUUACCCGUACAACUAAUGUGAUCCUAAAGAAGCUAUCUCUCUAUCAGAAAGUGUACAUUCAAUUUUGCAUAUAGAGUGAAACUCAUAUCCUUCGUACACAUUAGGAUGAACGGACUGCUGCUGUUUCUAUGAAUAAGUGAAAGGAAAAUGAAAAUCGCGAUAGUAAUCAAACAGUCUGAUACGUACUUCCUCGUUUGAAUACAUCCAGCUAUCUCUUGUUUCCCACCUCCCGCUCCUUCAUGCCAUUCUCCUCCCAGUUUUGUAAAAAAAGUACGAGGAUAUUUCAACACUAACGAGUAUUUUGAUCAAAUGUAUGAAAAGAAUUUAAUCCAGUAGAUUUCACUGUUUAUCGUGUUGUUUACCCGUGCGCUUCAUUUAGCCGUCAGCAUCUCCGAGUCUAGUUCCCAGCUUAAAAUGGUUGUACUUUUCAC
RNA transcript from Nicotiana tabacum (common tobacco), 4081 nucleotides. It is a transcript of the gene named PH, RCC1 and FYVE domains-containing protein 1-like, with no coding region annotated. Lineage: Eukaryota; Viridiplantae; Streptophyta; Magnoliopsida; Solanales; Solanaceae. The record is from RefSeq and is a predicted model, not a curated record.